This 812-nucleotide unclassified non-coding RNA is filed under the name Hevea brasiliensis (rubber tree). Lineage: Eukaryota; Viridiplantae; Streptophyta; Magnoliopsida; Malpighiales; Euphorbiaceae. The record is from RNAcentral.
UGAUCCUAGAGCAGAAUUGCAUAGUUCUUUGUACAAGGUUUGAUCACAAGUUCUGGCCACCAAAUCUGAGGCUUGGUGGGUAGGAUAUGCAAGAACAAGGUUGAAGAAAAAGAAGAUUGAGAAAGAAAUAGUGGUUAGCAGAAGUUUAAGAUGGUUUGUGGUCUUAGGUUUUGGUGUUAAAAAGAAAUGGAUUAUAUUGUUAUUUGUUAACCUCUCAUCCACGAGAGAAAAGCUUGACCAUCGAAUCGAACUUGCUUAAACGGUCUGUGUGGAAAACAUGAUUUUUUAAAGUUGGCAAAGGACGGCUCCAAGUGCAACCUCUAACAAUUCCCAACAUUUAGCCUAACAAUUUAACUGCAAUGCUUGUUUAAGUGCAAUCAUGACCAAAAAGAAGCAUUAUUAGCAAAUAAAAUAAGAAUAUUAAAAAAAUAUAUUAAUUUGUUUUUAUUUCUCAAGAAGCUAGAGAAACCCUAGCUAAACUAAUAAAGAGAGAAAUGAAGGGCAUAUUGCAUAGAAUGGUGAAUUUGAAUGACAAAAACAUGCACCUACCUGAGAAAGGGGAAGGUCCACUGAUACUAUUGCUCCAUGGAUUCCCAGAACUCUUCUUGGCACCAUCAGAUUCUUUAUUUAAGCUCGCCUGGACUGUUGCCCAAUCUUAGGGGCUAUAGUGAAAGUGAUGCUUCAGCUUAAAGCAUUAGCUAUAACUGUCUCCGCCUUGUAGCUCUUAUUGAUCAUCUUGGAGUAGCGCAAGUGUUCCUUGUGGCACAUGAGUGGAGUGCCGCUGUUGGAUGGUCAGUGUAGACAUGGCCACG